GCAAUUAAAGGAAGUUUUCGGAUGGAAUUUGAUUGACUGAGUGGCGGACGGGUGAGUAACGCGUGGAUAACCUGCCUCACACUGGGGGAUAACAGUUAGAAAUGACUGCUAAUACCGCAUAAGCGCACAGUACCGCAUGGUACGGUGUGAAAAACUCCGGCGGUGUGAGAUGGAUCCGCGUCUGAUUAGCCAGUUGGCGGGGUAACGGCCCACCAAAGCGACGAUCAGUAGCCGACCUGAGAGGGUGACCGGCCACAUUGGGACUGAGACACGGCCCAAACUCCUACGGGAGGCAGCAGUGGGGAAUAUUGCACAAUGGGCGAAAGCCUGAUGCAGCGACGCCGCGUGAGUGAAGAAGUAUUUCGGUAUGUAAAGCUCUAUCAGCAGGGAAGAAAAUGACGGUACCUGACUAAGAAGCCCCGGCUAACUACGUGCCAGCAGCCGCGGUAAUACGUAGGGGGCAAGCGUUAUCCGGAUUUACUGGGUGUAAAGGGAGCGUAGACGGCGAAGCAAGUCUGAAGUGAAAACCCAGGGCUCAACCCUGGGACUGCUUUGGAAACUGUUUUGCUAGAGUGUCGGAGAGGUAAGUGGAAUUCCUAGUGUAGCGGUGAAAUGCGUAGAUAUUAGGAGGAACACCAGUGGCGAAGGCGGCUUACUGGA
RNAcentral lists this ribosomal RNA (660 nucleotides) under uncultured bacterium. RNAcentral's name for it is "bacterial SSU rRNA". It matches the Rfam family "Bacterial small subunit ribosomal RNA", at positions 57 to 733 of the family's 1533-position model. The record is from RNAcentral.